This 253-nucleotide ribosomal RNA is filed under the name Prevotella corporis. RNAcentral describes it as "partial 16S ribosomal RNA". It matches the Rfam family "Bacterial small subunit ribosomal RNA", at positions 524 to 776 of the family's 1533-position model. Lineage: Bacteria; Pseudomonadati; Bacteroidota; Bacteroidia; Bacteroidales; Prevotellaceae. The record is from RNAcentral.
UACGGAAGGUCCGGGCGUUAUCCGGAUUUAUUGGGUUUAAAGGGAGUGUAGGCGGCCUGUUAAGCGUGUUGUGAAAUGUAGAUGCUCAACAUCUGAACUGCAGCGCGAACUGGCUGGCUUGAGUACACGCAACGUGGGCGGAAUUCAUGGUGUAGCGGUGAAAUGCUUAGAUAUCAUGAAGAACUCCUAUUGCGAAGGCAGCUCACGGGAGUGUCACUGACGCUUAAGCUCGAAGGUGCGGGUAUCAAACAGG